AGCAAAGUAAGAUUUACAAAUAAGUCAACAUGACUGAAAUGGUCAAUUGACCCCCUAAGGAGUUAUUGUCCUUUAUAGUCAAUUUUAAACAAUUUUUAUAAAAUUUGUAAAUUUUUACUAACAUUUUCCACUGAAACUAGAUAGAGAUAACUGUAAGCAGCAAGAAUGUUCAGUAAAGUAAGACGUACAAACACAUCACCAUCACCAAAACA
Molecule: long non-coding RNA, 212 nt
Filed under: Mytilus galloprovincialis (Mediterranean mussel)
Lineage: Eukaryota; Metazoa; Mollusca; Bivalvia; Mytilida; Mytilidae
Source: RNAcentral